UACGAAAGGGGCUAGCGUUGCUCGGAAUCACUGGGCGUAAAGCGCACGUAGGCGGAUCAUUAAGUCAGGGGUGAAAGCCUGGGGCUCAACUCCAGAACUGCCCUUGAUACUGAUGAUCUUGAGUCCGGAAGAGGUUGGUGGAACUCCGAGUGUAGAGGUGAAAUUCGUAGAUAUUCGGAAGAACACCAGUGGCGAAGGCGGCCAACGGGUCCGGUACUGACGCUGAGGUGCGAAAGCGUGGGGAGCAAACAGG
Molecule: ribosomal RNA, 253 nt
Filed under: uncultured bacterium
Lineage: Bacteria
Description: partial 16S ribosomal RNA
Rfam family: Bacterial small subunit ribosomal RNA
Source: RNAcentral